This 709-nucleotide ribosomal RNA is filed under the name uncultured bacterium. RNAcentral describes it as "bacterial SSU rRNA". It matches the Rfam family "Bacterial small subunit ribosomal RNA", at positions 60 to 770 of the family's 1533-position model. The record is from RNAcentral.
AGUCGACGGUGAUGAAGAGCUUGCUCUUUGGAUCAGUGGCGAACGGGUGAGUAACACGUGAGCAAUCUGCCCUUGACUCUGGGAUAACUGCGGGAAACUGUAGCUAAUACCGGAUAUGACCCAGGAAGGCAUCUUUUUGGGUGGAAAGAAUUUUGGUCAAGGAUGAGCUCGCGGCCUAUCAGCUAGUUGGUGAGGUAAUGGCUCACCAAGGCGACGACGGGUAGCCGGCCUGAGAGGGCGACCGGCCACACUGGGACUGAGACACGGCCCAGACUCCUACGGGAGGCAGCAGUGGGGAAUAUUGCACAAUGGGCGCAAGCCUGAUGCAGCAACGCCGCGUGAGGGACGAAGGCCUUCGGGUUGUAAACCUCUUUUAGUAGGGAAGAAGCGACUGGGUUUUCCUGGGAGUGACGGUACCUGCAGAAUAAGCACCGGCUAACUCCGUGCCAGCAGCCGCGGUAAUACGGAGGGUGCAAGCGUUGUCCGGAUUUAUUGGGUUUAAAGGGUGCGUAGGCGGCUGAUUAAGUCUGGGGUGAAAGCCCGUUGCUCAACAACGGAACUGCCCUGGAAACUGGUUAGCUUGAGUACAGACGAGGGUGGCGGAAUGGAUACUGUAGCGGUGAAAUGCAUAGAUAGUAUCCAGAACCCCGAUUGCGAAGGCAGCUGCCUAGACUGUAACUGACGCUGAGGCACGAAAGCGUGGGGAGCG